RNAcentral lists this ribosomal RNA (392 nucleotides) under uncultured bacterium. RNAcentral describes it as "partial 16S ribosomal RNA". It matches the Rfam family "Bacterial small subunit ribosomal RNA", at positions 523 to 918 of the family's 1533-position model. The record is from RNAcentral.
AUACGGAGGAUCCGAGCGUUAUCCGGAUUUAUUGGGUUUAAAGGGUGCGCAGGCGGCCAUUUAAGUCAGCGGUUAAAUCGUGGGGCUCAACCCCAUUCUGCCGUUGAUACUGGGUGGCUUGAUUGCGGUCGAGGUUGGCGGAAUUCGUUGUGUAGCGGUGAAAUGCAUAGAUAUGACGAAGAACACCGAUUGUGUAGGCAGCUGACCAGACCGCAAAUGACGCUCAUGCACGAAAGUGCGGGGAUCGAACAGGAUUAGAUACCCUGGUAGUCCGCACAGUAAACGAUGAAUACUUGUUUUCGGCGAUAUAAUGUCGGAGGCAAAGCGAAAGCGAUAAGUAUUCCACCUGGGGAGUACGCCGGCAACGGUGAAACUCAAAUGAAUCGGCGGGG